CAAAGGUUUGGUCCUGACUUUACUAUCAACUUUAGCUAAAUUUACACAUGCAAGUAUCCGCACCCCUGUGAGAAUGCCCCACAGUCCCCCACCCGGGAACAAGGAGCCGGUAUCAGGCACACUUAUUUAAUUAGCCCAAGACACCUUGCUUAGCCACACCCUCAAGGGAAUUCAGCAGUGAUAAACAUUAAGCCAUAAGUGAAAACUUGACUUAGUUAAAGCUAAGAGGGCCGGUAAAACUCGUGCCAGCCACCGCGGUUAUACGAGAGGCCCAAGUUGUUAGUUACCGGCGUAAAGCGUGGUUAAAAAUAAUUACUUACUAAAGCCGAAAGCCUUCAAAGCUGUUAUACGCAUCCGAAGUUAAAAAGACCAAUAACGAAAGUAGCUUUAUUUAUUUUGAACCCACGAAAGCCAUGGCACAAACUGGGAUUAGAUACCCCACUAUGCCUAGCCGUAAACAUUGACAGUAGAAUACAACAUCUGUCCGCCUGGGUACUACGAGCAUCAGCUUGAAACCCAAAGGACUUGGCGGUGCUUUAGAUCCCCCUAGAGGAGCCUGUUCUAGAACCGAUAACCCCCGUUCAACCUCACCCUUUCUUGUUUAUCCCGCCUAUAUACCACCGUCGUCAGCUUACCCUGUGAAGGCCCUAUAGUAAGCAAAAUUGGCAUAGCCCAAAACGUCAGGUCGAGGUGUAGCGUAUGAAAGGGGAAGAAAUGGGCUACAUUCACUUCCUCAGUGAACACGAACGAUAUAUUGAAAUAUAUAUCCAAAGGAGGAUUUAGCAGUAAGCAGAAAAUAGAGUGUCCUGCUGAAACUGGCCCUGAAGCGCGCACACACCGCCCGUCACUCUCCCCAAGCUCCCUAAAACAAGUAACUAAAUAUAUAUAACUGCAAAGGGGAGGCAAGUCGUAACAUGGUAAGUGUACCGGAAGGUGCACUUGGAAAAAU
RNAcentral lists this non-coding RNA (949 nucleotides) under Lactoria diaphana (roundbelly cowfish). Its description in RNAcentral is "12S rRNA". It matches the Rfam family "Bacterial small subunit ribosomal RNA". The record is from RNAcentral. Lineage: Eukaryota; Metazoa; Chordata; Actinopteri; Tetraodontiformes; Ostraciidae.